CCGCGGGAUUUCCGGAGGUGAACCUGCGGAAGGAUCAUCCUCCUUAGAUUUAGCACAAUUCGCUUGAUUUCUUGUGUAUGGCCCUCUAGGGGAUGCUCAGUCGGGUGCCUCUUGCUGACACUAAUGGGCGUUGGGCUGGACAUGAUAUAUUGCAAUCUUGUCCGCUCCCAUCGUUUAUUUUUUUGCAUGCAAAUUUAUGCCGCAUCUUCUUAAUGUGUUUAUUAAGGAGUUUAUCAUUUUCAGCGAUGAAUGUCUCGGUUCGGGCAACGAUGAAGGGUGCAGCGAAGUGCGAUAAGCAUUGUGAAUUGCAGAUUUCUGUGAGCCGAUAGGGACUUGAACACAUAUUGUGCUUUUGGGAUAUCCCUAAAAGCAUAUGUGCUUCAGUGCCUCUUUAUAUUGAUCCUAAACAUCUUGCUUUAUGUUUAAAUAGAUUUUAUGGCUUGCUGUUUCUCACAUGCUGUUAACAUUCGUGUGGAUAUAUGUUUGAGGGUCUGUGAUUGACAAGACCGCUGUAUGUCAGUCAGCUUGCAAAUCUUUUGUAAAUGAAGCUGAUUGUGCUCGCGGCAUUGUGGGUCUUGCUGUCGCAAUUUUGUUGCAACAAGAAUUAUGUCAUGAAGUUAGACUUGCAAACUCGCUGAAUUUAAGCAUAUCAAU
Molecule: ribosomal RNA, 654 nt
Filed under: uncultured eukaryote
Lineage: Eukaryota
Description: eukaryotic LSU rRNA
Rfam family: 5.8S ribosomal RNA (bases 235-389)
Source: RNAcentral